AUGGUAGAGCGUUUUCGGGGAGAAGAAGUAAUCUACCAUAGCUUUGACAGUGCAGAAGACGACCCGUAUGGCUACUACGCUCCCGAGUUCUUAAAUGGAUUGACUCCCAACGGUCUGCCUCCGCAUGCACUCAAACUGAAGCUCAACUGCCCUGUCAUACUUCUGAGGAAUAUUGAUCCGGCUAAUGGUCUGUGUAACGGGACGAGGCUUGUGGUGCGAGGUUUCGAGAGGAACGCCAUCGACACAGAAAUCGUGAUCGGACAACACGCAGGUAGGAGGGUAUUCCUUCCUCGAAUACCCCUAUGCCUGUCUGACAACGACAUGUUUCCAUUCAAGUUCAAGAGGAAGCAAUUUCCUGUAAGGCUUAGCUUUGCUAUGACGAUUAACAAGGCUCAAGGCCAGACAAUUCCGAUUGUUGGCGUGUACCUACCUAAUCCGGUGUUCUCUCAUGGUCAACUCUAUGUCGCAUUGUCUCGAGCCACCGCAAAGAUAAAUAUAAAGAUCCUCAUUGAGAAGGAGAAGGAGAAGGAGAAUGCCAAGAAGCAAAGCGGUAAAUCUAAGAAGCGGUAA
RNAcentral lists this ribosomal RNA (570 nucleotides) under Triticum aestivum (bread wheat). RNAcentral's name for it is "partial small subunit ribosomal RNA". The record is from RNAcentral. Lineage: Eukaryota; Viridiplantae; Streptophyta; Magnoliopsida; Poales; Poaceae.